Molecule: ribosomal RNA, 253 nt
Filed under: uncultured bacterium
Lineage: Bacteria
Description: partial 16S ribosomal RNA
Rfam family: Bacterial small subunit ribosomal RNA
Source: RNAcentral
UACGUAGGCAGCAAGCGUUGUUCGGAGUUACUGGGCGUAAAGAGUGCGUAGGCGGUCCUGUAAGUUUGGUGUGAAAUCUCCCGGCUCAACUGGGAGGGUGCGCCGAAGACUGCAGGGCUUGAGUAUGGGAGAGGUAAGCGGAAUUCCCGGUGUAGUGGUGAAAUGCGUAGAGAUCGGGAGGAACACCCGUAGCGAAGGCGGCCGACUGGACCACACCUGACGCUGAGGCGCGAAGGCCAGGGGAGCGAACGGG